RNAcentral lists this ribosomal RNA (682 nucleotides) under uncultured Bacteroidales bacterium. Its description in RNAcentral is "bacterial SSU rRNA". It matches the Rfam family "Bacterial small subunit ribosomal RNA", at positions 66 to 736 of the family's 1533-position model. Lineage: Bacteria; Pseudomonadati; Bacteroidota; Bacteroidia; Bacteroidales. The record is from RNAcentral.
GGGGCAGCAUUUCAGUUUGCUUGCAAACUGGAGAUGGCGACCGGCGCACGGGUGAGUAACACGUAUCCAACCUGCCGAUAACUCGGGGAUAGCCUUUCGAAAGAAAGAUUAAUACCCGAUGGUAUAAUCAGACCGCAUGGUCUUGUUAUUAAAGAAUUUCGGUUAUCGAUGGGGAUGCGUUCCAUUAGGCAGUUGGUGAGGUAACGGCUCACCAAACCUUCGAUGGAUAGGGGUUCUGAGAGGAAGGUCCCCCACAUUGGAACUGAGACACGGUCCAAACUCCUACGGGAGGCAGCAGUGAGGAAUAUUGGUCAAUGGGCGCAGGCCUGAACCAGCCAAGUAGCGUGAAGGAUGACUGCCCUAUGGGUUGUAAACUUCUUUUAUAUGGGAAUAAAGUUUUCCACGUGUGGAAUUUUGUAUGUACCAUAUGAAUAAGGAUCGGCUAACUCCGUGCCAGCAGCCGCGGUAAUACGGAGGAUCCGAGCGUUAUCCGGAUUUAUUGGGUUUAAAGGGAGCGUAGGUGGACAGUUAAGUCAGUUGUGAAAGUUUGCGGCUCAACCGUAAAAUUGCAGUUGAUACUGGCUGUCUUGAGUACAGUAGAGGUGGGCGGAAUUCGUGGUGUAGCGGUGAAAUGCUUAGAUAUCACGAAGAACUCCGAUUGCGAAGGCAGCUCACUGGACUG